AUGCUGUGCCUCGCCUCCUCCUCCUCCCUGCCCUCUCUCCGGCCGCGAACCUCUCCCACUGCCGACCGGCCCGGUCCGGGGAACUCGGUGAGCAGAGAUCUGUUCUGUUUUAUUCUUUUAACGUUCUCCUUUAUGCUUGCCCAUGGCGAGGUUCUUGACGGCCCUGAUGCGACGAUGCUGACCGGUCGCCUGCAGGGCGGCGGCGGCGCCGGCGGCAGUGUGCGGCUGAGCGUGGUGUCCGUGCCGUCUUCGCUUCGCUGGUCGUGGCCACUGAAGGCCAAUAGCAAGAUUUCUGUUCCCGAGACUGCGCGGGAGAACAAAACUGUGGCAACAGAAGAUGGUGUCAGCCACCUUCCAAUAUACGAUCUGGACCCGAAGUUGGCCGAAUUCAAGAACCACUUCAACUACAGGAUGAGAAGGUAUCAUUACCAGAAACAUUUGAUUGAGAAACAUGAGGGAAGCCUUGAAGAAUUCUCCAGAGGCUAUUUGAAGUUUGGGAUCAAUGCAGAACCUGGUGCGACUGUAUACCGGGAAUGGGCCCCUGCAGCAAUGGAAGCACAACUUGUUGGUGACUUCAACAACUGGAAUGGUUCUGAGCACAUGAUGACAAAGGAUAAUUUUGGCGUCUGGUCAAUCAAGAUUUCUCAUGUCGAUGGGAAACCUGCCAUCCCUCACAAUUCCAAGGUUAAAUUUCGAUUUAGGCACGAUGGAGUAUGGGUUGAACGGAUUCCUGCAUGGAUUCGUUAUACAAUUGUUAAUACCUCUAAAUUUGGAGCUCCAUACGAUGGUGUUCAUUGGGAUCCACCAACUAGUGAAAGGUAUGUGUUUAAGCAUCCCCGGCCACGAAGGCCUGAUAUUCCACGUAUCUAUGAGGCGCAUGUGGGGAUGAGUGGUGAAAAGCCUGAAGUAUACAGAGAAUUUGCCGACAAUGUGUUACCACGCAUAAGGGCAAAGAACUACAACACAGUCCAGCUUAUGGCAAUCAUGGAACAUUCCUACUAUGCUUCUUUUGGGUAUCACGUGACAAAUUUCUUCGCGGUUAGCAGCAAAUCAGGCACUCCAGAGGACCUCAAAUAUCUUGUUGACAAGGCACAUAGUUUAGGAUUGCGUGUUCUAAUGGAUGUUGUCCAUAGCCAUGCAAGCAAAAAUGUGACAGAUGGUCUAAAUGGCUAUGAUGUUGGACAAAGCGCACAAGAGUCAUAUUUCUACGCAGGAGACAGGGGCUAUCAUAAACUGUGGGAUAGCCGCCUGUUCAACUAUACCAAUUGGGAGGUCUUAAGAUUUCUUCUUUCCAAUCUGAGAUAUUGGAUGGACGAAUUCAUGUUUGAUGGCUUCAGAUUUGAUGGGGUCACAUCCAUGCUAUACAAUCACCAUGGAAUCAAUACGUCGUUCACUGGAAAUUAUAAGGAGUAUUUUGGUUUGGAUACAAAUGUAGAUGCAAUCAUUUAUAUGAUGCUGGCUAACCAUUUAAUACACAAACUCCUGCCAGAAGCAACUAUUAUUGCUGAAGAUGUUUCAGUCAUGCCAGUUCUUUGUCGGCCAGUUGACGAAGGUGGAGUAGGGUUUGACUAUCGCCAGGCUAUGGCUAUUCCAGAGAGAUGGGUCGACUAUUUGAAAAACAAAGAUGCCCAGGAAUUGUCAAUGAGUGGAAUAUCACAGACUUUGAAUAACAGGGACAAAGAUCAGGAUGCAAUUGAAACUACGAUUGCACAACAUACGACCCCAAGAUCAACAUUUGAUGCCGUUUCCGAGAUACCCUCCCACAUAAGUCCCACAAGCACCUUUGAACAUAAUUCCCAAUUAGAGACAAGCCCAUCGAAGUUGCCAAUUAUUCAAGCGCUUGAGGCUCUACUACUGGCUGAAAGACAGGGUGCAGCUGCACUCCGAGAUGCAACUGACAUCAUGAGGAGGCAAAUAGAGCAAUCAGAUGCACUCCUCACCAAAACCAAACAAGAGAUGGAUGAAGUUAGAAAGAAGCAAGCAAAGACCGACCAAAUUCUUAGGCUUCUAAUAUCUGGAGCUCAGGGUAAUCCCACUUCAUAA
This 2043-nucleotide ribosomal RNA is filed under the name Triticum aestivum (bread wheat). Its description in RNAcentral is "partial small subunit ribosomal RNA". Lineage: Eukaryota; Viridiplantae; Streptophyta; Magnoliopsida; Poales; Poaceae. The record is from RNAcentral.